GGUAUGUGAGUUUGGAACCUGGCUCAGAUUGAACGCUGGCGGCAUGCCUUACACAUGCAAGUCGAACGGUAACAGGUCUUCGGAUGCUGACGAGUGGCGAACGGGUGAGUAAUACAUCGGAACGUGCCCGAUCGUGGGGGAUAACGAGGCGAAAGCUUUGCUAAUACCGCAUACGAUCUACGGAUGAAAGCGGGGGAUCUUCGGACCUCGCGCGGACGGAGCGGCCGAUGGCAGAUUAGGUAGUUGGUGGGAUAAAAGCUUACCAAGCCGACGAUCUGUAGCUGGUCUGAGAGGAUGAUCAGCCACACUGGGACUGAGACACGGCCCAGACUCCUACGGGAGGCAGCAGUGGGGAAUUUUGGACAAUGGGCGAAAGCCUGAUCCAGCCAUGCCGCGUGCAGGAUGAAGGCCUUCGGGUUGUAAACUGCUUUUGUACGGAACGAAAAGCCUCUUUCUAAUAAAGAGGGGUCAUGACGGUACCGUAAGAAUAAGCACCGGCUAACUACUCAGACGUUCCGG
This 519-nucleotide ribosomal RNA is filed under the name uncultured Diaphorobacter sp. Its description in RNAcentral is "bacterial SSU rRNA". It matches the Rfam family "Bacterial small subunit ribosomal RNA", at positions 1 to 520 of the family's 1533-position model. Lineage: Bacteria; Pseudomonadati; Pseudomonadota; Betaproteobacteria; Burkholderiales; Comamonadaceae. The record is from RNAcentral.